RNAcentral lists this ribosomal RNA (520 nucleotides) under uncultured Glomus. Its description in RNAcentral is "SSU rRNA". It matches the Rfam family "Eukaryotic small subunit ribosomal RNA", at positions 569 to 1086 of the family's 1831-position model. The record is from RNAcentral. Lineage: Eukaryota; Fungi; Glomeromycota; Glomeromycetes; Glomerales; Glomeraceae.
AGCAGCCGCGGUAAUUCCAGCUCCAAUAGCGUAUAUUAAAGUUGUUGCAGUUAAAAAGCUCGUAGUUGAAUUUCGGGGUUAGUAGGUCGGUCAUGCCACUGGUAUGUACUGGUCUCACUGAUUCCUCCUUCCUGAUGAACCGUAAUGCCAUUAAUUUGGUGUUGCGGGGAGACUGGACUGUUACUUUGAAAAAAUUGAGUGUUUAAAGCAGGCUAACGCUUGAAUACAUUAGCAUGGAAUAAUGAAAUAGGACGUUCGAUCCUAUUUUGUUGGUUUCUAGGAUUGACGUAAUGAUUAAUAGGGAUAGUUGGGGGCAUUAGUAUUCAAUUGUCAGAGGUGAAAUUCUUGGAUUUAUUGAAGACUAACUACUGCGAAGGCAUUUGCCAAGGNUGUUUUCAUUAAUCAAGAACGAAAGUUAGGGAUCGAAGACGAUCAGAUACCGUCGUAGUCUUAACCAUAAACUAUGACCGACUAGGGAUCGGGAUGGAUUGUUAAUUUUUUAAUGUACUCAUUUCGGCGC